RNAcentral lists this ribosomal RNA (201 nucleotides) under uncultured bacterium. RNAcentral's name for it is "partial 16S ribosomal RNA". It matches the Rfam family "Bacterial small subunit ribosomal RNA", at positions 326 to 539 of the family's 1533-position model. The record is from RNAcentral.
ACGCUCGACACCUACGGUAGGCAGCAGUCGGGAAUAUUGCGCAAUGGAGGAAACUCUGACGCAGUGACGCCGCGUGCAGGAAGAAGGUUUUCGGAUUGUAAACUGCUUUAGACAGGGAAGAAAGAAAUGACAGUACCUGUAGAAUAAGCUCCGGCUAACUACGUGCCAGCAGCUGCGGUAAUCUGAGCGGGCUGGCAAGGC